GCGACGCCGAGGUCCUCGGCGAUCAACCCGCGCAUGGUCUCGAUGUGCGGCGCCAUCUUCGGCGCCUGGGCGACGAUCGUGGCGUCGACGUUGCC
RNAcentral lists this transfer RNA (95 nucleotides) under Pseudomonas aeruginosa. RNAcentral's name for it is "tRNA-Glu(ctc)". The record is from RNAcentral. Lineage: Bacteria; Pseudomonadati; Pseudomonadota; Gammaproteobacteria; Pseudomonadales; Pseudomonadaceae. RNAcentral also lists the same sequence under 1 other name.